GCAGCCUCCUCCUUUACACUUUCAGAAUCAGACUUAGAAACCGAACCCGAACCCGAACCCGAAACUGAAACUGAAGAAGAAGAUGAAGACGAAGAGGAAGAAGAAGAAGAAGAAGAAGAAGAAGAAGAAGAAGAAGAAGAAGAAGAAGAAGAAGAAGAAGAAGAAGAAGAAGAAGAAGAAGAAGAAGAAGAAGAAGAAGAAGAAGAAGAAGAAGAAGAAGAAGAAGAAGAAGAAGAAGAAGAAGAAGAAGAAGAAGAAGAAGAAGAAGAAGAAGAAGAAGAAGAAGAAGAAGAAGAAGAAGAAGAAGAAGAAGAAGAAGAAGAAGAAGAAGAAGAAGAAGAAGGAGAUGGGGUUACGUCAAUUGAAAAGCCUCCAGUGAAGAGGAAGAGGAAGAGAAGGAGGUACAGAAAGCAAUACCCAGGUG
This 424-nucleotide long non-coding RNA is filed under the name Solanum tuberosum (potato). Its description in RNAcentral is "long non-coding RNA (STUB_LNC005236)". Lineage: Eukaryota; Viridiplantae; Streptophyta; Magnoliopsida; Solanales; Solanaceae. The record is from RNAcentral.